Molecule: ribosomal RNA, 497 nt
Filed under: uncultured bacterium
Lineage: Bacteria
Description: partial 16S ribosomal RNA
Rfam family: Bacterial small subunit ribosomal RNA
Source: RNAcentral
GAUGAACGCUGGCGGCGUGCCUAAUACAUGCAAGUCGAGCGAACGGACGAGAAGCUUGCUUCUCUGAUGUUAGCGGCGGACGGGUGAGUAACACGUGGAUAACCUACCUAUAAGACUGGGAUAACUUCGGGAAACCGGAUCUAAUACCGUAUAAUAUUUUGAACCGCAUGGGUCAAAAGUGAAAGACGGUCUUGCUGUCACUUAUAGAUGGAUCCGCGCUGCAUUAGCUAGUUGGUAAGGUAACGGCUUACCAAGGCAACGAUGCAUAGCCGACCUGACAGGGUGAUCGCCCACCCUGGAACUGAGACACGGUCCAGACUACUACGGGAGGCCGCAGUAGGGAAUCUUCCGCAAUGGGCGAAAGCCUGACGGAGCAACGCCGAGUGAGUGAUGAAGGUCUUCGGAUCGUAAAACUCUGUUAUUAGGGAAGAACAUAUGUGUAAGUAAAUGUGCACAUAUUGACGGUACCUAAUAAGAAAGCCACGGCUAACUACGUG